CCCCUAGAUGUUCUGGGCCGCACGCGCGCUACACUGAUGCAUUCAACGAGUCUAAAACCUGGUCUGAUAGGGCUGGGUAAUCUUUUGAAAGUGCAUCGUGAUUGGGAUAGAUGAUUGCAAUUCUUCAUCUUCAACGAGGAAUGCCUAGUAAACGCAAGUCAUCAGCUUGCAUUGAUUACGUCCCUGCCCUUUGUACACACCGCCCGUCGCUCCUACCGAUUGAAUGAUCCGAUGAAUACCAUGGAUUGAGAGUACGAAUAGGUUCGCUUAUUUCUGCUGCUCGAGAAGUGGAGUAAAUCUUAUCAUUUAGAGGAAGGAGAAGUCGUAACA
This 330-nucleotide ribosomal RNA is filed under the name uncultured eukaryote. RNAcentral's name for it is "partial 18S ribosomal RNA". It matches the Rfam family "Eukaryotic small subunit ribosomal RNA", at positions 1470 to 1796 of the family's 1831-position model. The record is from RNAcentral.